RNAcentral lists this long non-coding RNA (1376 nucleotides) under Struthio camelus australis. RNAcentral's name for it is "lncRNA (ENSSCUG00000000134.1)". Lineage: Eukaryota; Metazoa; Chordata; Aves; Struthioniformes; Struthionidae. The record is from RNAcentral.
GCUUAAUAUAUCUUCGUUAAAUGCUUGGGAAGCGGUUGAUUGCACAGUGAAGCAGCUGAUGGUUCUUGCUGUCUUCUGUUUUGGCUUCAGUGAAGGGAUAAAGGGGGGGGCCUUUUAACAGAGGUAGGAAAAUAAGCAAAUAUGUAAAAAGCCCUGGGGAGUUUGUGAACCCUUGGAUGUUUGCUCAGGGUUUGUUACAGCCCUGAACUAGGCUAUCGUUUUGGUAGAAGCAUUGUACUGUGAGAUUAGUGUGGUGACACCCCAGCCACAGGGUUACUUCAGCCUCAGAGCAGUGUGACUAUAUUAAAGCUAGUGAGUGCCUAUGGCAUGUUGCUCACUCCAGUGCUGCAGCUAGUUUUUGUACUGUAACUUACUCUGGGCAGGGGGAGGGCCAGACCGUGCCUAAUACAAGGUAAAGAUUUUCCUGAAGGUUUUAUGUAAGUCAGGAGAGAAUUAUUUGUGCUUUAAAGUACCAAUGCUUCAGGAACAAAAGUAAAGGAGCCCAGAGAGGCUAGCAGAGAGCUAGUCACACCUUUGAUCUACCCUUAUCUUAUCAAAUGGUACAGAUAUAAGGCCUCUCCAGAGACUGGCUGGGUGACAAGCUGUUGGUUGUGUAAAGACUGAGCCUGUGAGUCUCAGAGUUCCUUAAGUGUUACAGAUCUAUUGUUCCUCAUCUAUAGAGGAUCCAUCUUCUACUGCUGAACUUGGUAAUAUCAACAACAGCUUUGGGAAUGAUGGCUGAUCAGGACAGGAGGACCUUUUACCAGGAAAUUAUUUGAAAGGAUAAUAGCGGUAUCUCUGCCUCCUUGUGAUCAAGGCAAAUAUUGAAAACUCAUCUCUUCAGCCUGGAUACGAGAUGACUGUGUACGACUGAUGUCCUCAUGCUUAGCCCAUGCUCCUCUUCCUCAUUUUGCAGCGUAGAGAGUGUGGAGCAUGCUGGACCCUGCUGUUAAGUUUGUUUGCUGUGUGGACUGGGUUCCUGGCUUCCCUGCUGUGGAAUGCAGGCUUAGCGUACGCAGGCUUGUACCUGACGCAAACUGGAACUGAGUUAUAAUCUUCCUUAAAGUGUACAUGUUCACUGUGUACACAGAACUGCAAGUUGAUCACUUGUUAUAUCACAUUCUCCCCGUUGUCAAAAAGCUGAGUUCGUGUCAUUCCACAAAAAGAAAGCUGCUUCUGAGGAGCUGAUGUUAUAUUAUUCAAGAGCGAUGCAGUACACUAAAACGAAGAAAAUUUGUUUUCUCUCUGGAACGAGGCAACUUGCAAACCUUGAUGUGAACAUCUAAAACACACAGAUCACCCCCCGUAUUCACUUAGCCUCCAUGAAUGACCUUUUCAAGAAUAAAGGUUGUGAAGCACAACUGUGAUUUUUUGUC